GAAUGGCCAGCGCACCUUGCUAAAGGAUACAGGUCAUGCCCCACGGUGUUUCUCCCCGACGAUGCCCUCAGACAGCCGGAUUUGAAAACCACCAUCCAAUCUAUGAGUUUGACCAUAUAUUACAUCAUAAAGCACAGAGUUCAAGAUAGAACCUUGCAUAUUUUCGAUGAGAGAAGGCACCCCUUCAGA
Molecule: long non-coding RNA, 189 nt
Organism: Pipistrellus kuhlii (Kuhl's pipistrelle)
Lineage: Eukaryota; Metazoa; Chordata; Mammalia; Chiroptera; Vespertilionidae
Exons: 3
Source: RefSeq, a predicted model, not a curated record